CUCGGAGAUAGCUGGUUCUCCCCGAAAUAGCUUUAGGGCUAGCCUCAUGUUAGAUAUCCGGAGGUAAAGCACUGAAUGGCCUAGCGUCCGAGAGGAUAGCGAAGCCUAUCAAACUAAGAAUGCCGGAAUAUUGAUGCAUGGGAGUCAGACAGUGUGAGAUAAAUCUCAUUGUCAAAAGGGAAACAGCCCAGAUCUACAGCUAAGGUCCCAAAUUGUAUCUAAGUGGAAAACGAUGUGGAAAUACGCAGACAACCAGGAUGUUGGCUCAGAAGCAGCCACUCAUUUAAAGAGUGCGUAAUAGCUCACUGGUCGAGCGUCUCUGCGCGGAAAAUUUAACGGGGCUAAGAUACAAACCGAAGCUUAGGCUGCAUACGUAAGUAUGCGGGGUAGGGGAGCGUUGUGUAAGCGGAGAAACAGUAGCGUAAGCGGCUGUGGAGUUUACAGAAGUGAGAAUGCCGGAAUGAGUAGCGCGAAUGUGGUGAGAAUCCACAUGGCCGGAAACCUCAGGUUUUUGGAGGAAGGUUCGUCCGCUCCAAGUUAGGCGGGAGCUAAGGUGAGGCCGAAAGGCGUAGCCGAUGCACAGACGGUAGAGAUUCCGUCCCCACCGAAAGAUUUAAGCGCAGGGACACUUUUAGAAGGUCGGAGCCAGGUGUUGGUUCUGGUAGAGAUCGAGGGAAGAUUAGUACCGAAGUCCGGCUGGAUAAGAGGCGAGAAAAGCUGCGUGUAUAUCUAAGGUGCCCGUACCGCAAACCGACACAGGUAGGUAGGAAGAAGAUUCUAAGGCCAACGGGAGAAGGGUUGUUAAGGAACUCGGCAAGUUGACCCCGUAACUUCGGAAUAAGGGGUGCUCACGAGAGUGAGCCGCAGAGAAUAGGCCCAGGCAACUGUUUACCAAAAACACAGGUUUGUGCUAAAUCGAAAGAUGACGUAUACGAGCUGACGCCUGCCCGGUGCUGGAAGGUUAAAAGGAGAUGUGCAAGCAUUGAAUUGAAGCCCCAGUGAACGGCGGCCGUAACUAUAACGGUCCUAAGGUAGCGAAAUUCCUUGUCAGGUAAGUUCUGACCCGCAUGAAAGGCGUAAUGAUUUGGGCACUGUCUCAACAGCCCGCCCGGCGAAAUUGUAGUACCGGUGAAGAUGCCGGUUACCCGCGACAAGACGGAAAGACCCCAUGGAGCUUUACUGUAGCCUGAUAUUGGGUUUCGGUGUUGCAUGCACAGGAUAGAUGGGACGCUGGGAAAGAAGCGCUUUGGCGUUUCUGGAGCGGACGUUGGGAUACCAUCCUUGCGACAUUGGAAUUCUAACCUGCGCCUCUGAAUCGAGGCGGGGGACAUUGUCAGGUGGGCAGUUUGACUGGGGCGGUCGCCUCCUAAAAAGUAGCGGAGGCGUUCAAAGGUUCGUUCGAUCUGGACGGAAACCAGAUGAUUGAGUGCAAACGCAUAAACGAGCCUGACUGCGAGACUGACGGGUCGAGCAGAGACGAAAGUCGGAGUUAGUGAUCCGGUGGUAUGUGAGUGGAAAUGCCAUCGCUCAACGGAUAAAAGUUACCCUGGGGAUAACAGGCUGAUCUCCCCCAAGAGUCCACAUCGACGGGGAGGUUUGGCACCUCGAUGUCGGCUCAUCGCAUCCUGGGGCUGAAUUCGGUCCCAAGGGUUUGGCUGUUCGCCAAUUAAAGCGGUACGCGAGCUGGGUUCAGAACGUCGUGAGACAGUUCGGUCCCUAUCUGUCGUGGGCGCAGGAUAUUUGAAAGGCGCUGUCCCUAGUACGAGAGGACCGGGAUGGACGAACCUCUGGUGCACCAGUUGUCACGCCAGUGGCACAGCUGGGCAGCUAUGUUCGGAUCGGAUAAACGCUGAAAGCAUCUAAGCGUGAAGCCGGCCUUAAGAUAAGAUAUCCCACUGAGUCAAUCAGGUAAGACCCCUUGAAGACUACAAGGUUGAUAGGCACACAGUGUAAGCGGAGUGAUCCGUUCAGCUAGCGUGUACUAAUAGGUCGAGGGCUUGACCCC
RNAcentral lists this ribosomal RNA (2005 nucleotides) under human gut metagenome. RNAcentral's name for it is "bacterial LSU rRNA". It matches the Rfam family "Bacterial large subunit ribosomal RNA", at positions 838 to 2925 of the family's 2925-position model. The record is from RNAcentral.